Molecule: ribosomal RNA, 253 nt
Filed under: uncultured bacterium
Lineage: Bacteria
Description: partial 16S ribosomal RNA
Rfam family: Bacterial small subunit ribosomal RNA
Source: RNAcentral
UACGUAGGGUGCGAGCGUUAAUCGGAAUUACUGGGCGUAAAGCGUGCGCAGGCGGUUUUGUAAGCCAGAUGUGAAAUCCCCGGGCUUAACCUGGGAAUGGCAUUUGGGACUGCAAGGCUGGAGUGUGGCAGAGGAGACUGGAAUUCCUGGUGUAGCAGUGAAAUGCGUAGAUAUCAGGAGGAAUACCGAUGGCGAAGGCAGGUCUCUGGGCUGACACUGACGCUCAGGCACGAAAGCGUGGGGAGCAAACAGG